GAUGAACGCUGGCGGCGUGCCUAAUACAUGCAAGUCGAGCGAACAGACGAGGAGCUUGCUCCUCUGACGUUAGCGGCGGACGGGUGAGUAACACGUGGAUAACCUACCUAUAAGACUGGGAUAACUUCGGGAAACCGGAGCUAAUACCGGAUAAUAUAUUGAACCGCAUGGUUCAAUAGUGAAAGACGGUUUUGCUGUCACUUAUAGAUGGAUCCGCGCCGCAUUAGCUAGUUGGUAAGGUAACGGCUUACCAAGGCAACGAUGCGUAGCCGACCUGAGAGGGUGAUCGGCCAAACUGGAACUGAGACAAGGUCCAGACUACUACGGGAGGCAGCAGUAGGGAAUAUUCCGCAAUGGGCGAAAGCCUGACGGAGCAACGCCGCGUGAGUGAUGAAGGUCUUCGGAUCGUAAAACUCUGUUAUUAGGGAAGAACAAAUGUGUAAGUAACUAUGCACGUCUUGACGGUACCUAAUCAGAAAGCCACGGCUAACUACGUG
Molecule: ribosomal RNA, 497 nt
Filed under: uncultured bacterium
Lineage: Bacteria
Description: partial 16S ribosomal RNA
Rfam family: Bacterial small subunit ribosomal RNA
Source: RNAcentral